This 700-nucleotide ribosomal RNA is filed under the name uncultured bacterium. RNAcentral's name for it is "bacterial SSU rRNA". It matches the Rfam family "Bacterial small subunit ribosomal RNA", at positions 90 to 820 of the family's 1533-position model. The record is from RNAcentral.
CUCUAGUGGCGGACGGGUGAGUAACACGUGAGAAUUUACCUUUAGGAGGGGGAUAACAAUUGGAAACGAAUGCUAAUACCCCAUAUGCUUUUGAGUGAAAUGGAUUUAUCCGCCUAAAGAGAAGCUCGCGGCUGAUUAGCUUGUUGGUAAGGUAAGAGCUUACCAAGGCGACGAUCAGUAUCUGGUUUGAGAGGACGAUCAGACACACUGGAACUGAGACACGGUCCAGACUCCUACGGGAGGCAGCAGUGGGGAAUUUUCCGCAAUGGGCGAAAGCCUGACGGAGCAAUACCGCGUGAGGGACGACUGCCUAUGGGUUGUAAACCUCUUUUUUCAGGGAGGAAUCAAUGACGUGUACCUGAAGAAUAAGCAUCGGCUAACUCCGUGCCAGCAGCCGCGGUAAGACGGAGGAUGCAAGUGUUAUCCGGAAUCACUGGGCGUAAAGCGUCUGUAGGUGGUUUAAUAAGUCAACUGUUAAAUCUUGAGGCUCAACUUCAAAAUCGCAGUCGAAACUAUUAGACUAGAGUAUAGUAGAGGUAAAGGGAAUUUCCAGUGGAGCGGUGAAAUGCGUAGAUAUUGGAAAGAACACCGAUGGCGAAAGCACUUUAGUGGGCUAUUACUAACACUCGGAGACGAAAGCUAGGGUAGCAAAUGGGAUUAGAUACCCCAGUAGUCCUAGCCGUAAACAAUGGAUACUAGA